This 99-nucleotide ribosomal RNA is filed under the name Scopulibacillus darangshiensis. RNAcentral's name for it is "partial 16S ribosomal RNA". It matches the Rfam family "Bacterial small subunit ribosomal RNA", at positions 1 to 98 of the family's 1533-position model. The record is from RNAcentral. Lineage: Bacteria; Bacillati; Bacillota; Bacilli; Caryophanales; Sporolactobacillaceae.
ACUAUUUUGAGAGUUUGAUCCUGGCUCAGGACGAACGCUGGCGGCGUGCCUAAUACAUGCAAGUCGAGCGCGGGAAGCAAGCUGAUCCCUUCGGGGUGA